RNAcentral lists this long non-coding RNA (553 nucleotides) under Rattus norvegicus (Norway rat). RNAcentral describes it as "long non-coding RNA NONRATT008762". The record is from RNAcentral. Lineage: Eukaryota; Metazoa; Chordata; Mammalia; Rodentia; Muridae.
CGGCCGCCUCUGCUGCCCUCCGGAGCGCGGCGCGCACAGAUCGCUGUCCGGGGCAGCAGCGCUUUUGCUGUCGCUGCCUCCGCCCUGGCGGAGCGGACCUGGGCAGCUGAAAGCGGUCUUCUUAGUCAGGCGUGGUAGCCUGGAUCUCCUGCGCGCAGCUCACGGACAGCUUUGAAGCUGCUGAACCGGACAGGGCUCCGAGGUCCUGCCCGGCAGCUCCGGCAAGCGGGUGGGUGAGCGGGCACGCUGAUCACCCCUUGUCUUUCCGCUGGAGUUGAAUCUGUGCUGCCCGUGUUCAGGUGCUGGGCUUCCGGACCGACACCGACGCCCCAUUCCCGCCCGCAGCCGCCUUGUCAUGCUGCCCAAAGUGGAGACGGAAGCCUCAGGACUGGUCCGAUCGCAUGGGGAACAGGGGCAGAUGCCGGAAAACAUGCAAGUGUCUCAAUUUAAAAUGGUGAAUUACUCCUAUGAUGAAGAUCUGGAAGAGCUGUGUCCUGUGUGUGGCGAUAAAGUAUCUGGGUAUCAUUACGGUCUCCUCACCUGUGAAAGCUGC